This 114-nucleotide ribosomal RNA is filed under the name Salmonella enterica subsp. enterica serovar Derby. The record is from RNAcentral. Lineage: Bacteria; Pseudomonadati; Pseudomonadota; Gammaproteobacteria; Enterobacterales; Enterobacteriaceae.
UUUGGCGGNUAGCGCGGUGGUCCCACCUGACCCCAUGCCGAACUCAGAAGUGAAACGCCGUAGCGCCGAUGGUAGUGUGGGGUCUCCCCAUGCGAGAGUAGGGAACUGCCAGGC